RNAcentral lists this unclassified non-coding RNA (645 nucleotides) under Zea mays. RNAcentral's name for it is "misc RNA Zm00001eb090580". The record is from RNAcentral. Lineage: Eukaryota; Viridiplantae; Streptophyta; Magnoliopsida; Poales; Poaceae.
CUGCUCACUGCGCAACAAAAUAGCAAGCCGGCAGCACGCGGAACCAUCGGGGCUGCUGCACAUUUCGUCGAGCACCCUGCGCACAUCGUAAAGGAGCAAGGGAAGGGGCUCUACGCAGGGCUGCUGUUUUUGGAUCGGAGGGCUGGGCGCAGGGACUUGGACGCCGUGGCUGCAGGAACAGCGGCGUUUUGCCGAGGAGCUGCGCAGCGAGGGAAGGUGGGGCGAGCUGCUGCUGUGCGAGGGAGAAGGAGCAGGGGAACAGGGGCGCCCUGCGCAGAGGAGGAGAGGUCGGCCAUGGAGGCUGCUGCCCCUGCGCAAGGGAGGCCAAGGAGGGGUGAAAAAAAAUCUGGGCGUCCUCCAUGGAAGCUGCUACCGCUGCUGGGUGUGGUGAAGAAUGGGCUGCUGCACCAUGGGGAAAUCAGCAGGAGGAAGAAACUAGGGCUUGGGCGCCAUGGCUGGGGGCGCGAUGGAGAGGGAGAGCUGGGCGUCUGCUCUUCCCUGCGCGAUGGCGAGGCCGAGCUGGGAGAGGGAAGCCGCUGCUCCAUGCUAUUGGGGAAGAAGGGCGUCGCUGCAGGGGUGCCGAGCGCAGGGAGCAGAGGGUCGGCCAUGGAGCAAGGGGCUCGCUGGAGGCUGUUGCCGUCGUGA